GAGUUUGAUCAUGGCUCAGAUUGAACGCUGGCGGCAUGCCUUACACAUGCAAGUCGAACGGCGGCAUGAUCUAGCUUGCUAGAUUGAUGGCGAGUGGCGAACGGGUGAGUAAUACAUCGGAACGUGCCCUGUAGUGGGGGAUAACUAGUCGAAAGAUUAGCUAAUACCGCAUACGACCUGAGGGUGAAAGUGGGGGACCGCAAGGCCUCAUGCUAUAGGAGCGGCCGAUGUCUGAUUAGCUAGUUGGUGGGGUAAAGGCCCACCAAGGCGACGAUCAGUAGCUGGUCUGAGAGGACGAUCAGCCACACUGGGACUGAGACACGGCCCAGACUCCUACGGGAGGCAGCAGUGGGGAAUUUUGGACAAUGGGCGAAAGCCUGAUCCAGCAAUGCCGCGUGUGUGAAGAAGGCCUCGGUUGUAAG
RNAcentral lists this ribosomal RNA (422 nucleotides) under uncultured microorganism. RNAcentral's name for it is "bacterial SSU rRNA". It matches the Rfam family "Bacterial small subunit ribosomal RNA", at positions 9 to 429 of the family's 1533-position model. The record is from RNAcentral.